Molecule: non-coding RNA, 3841 nt
Organism: Oryctolagus cuniculus (rabbit)
Lineage: Eukaryota; Metazoa; Chordata; Mammalia; Lagomorpha; Leporidae
Source: RefSeq, a predicted model, not a curated record
CUUCCCCGGCGCCCUCCUCCCCUCCCCCCUUCCUCCUGCCGGCGCGGCCCCGGCCGAGCGGUCUCUCCUCAGCCCGGAGACUCCUUAGCCGCCUUUCCAGGGCCGCACUGACACCAUCUGUCAGCUGCGUUUAGACACUGCGGCCCUCUGCCACACGCCGGGGUGCCAGACGCCCAAAGCACAAAGGGUGCUGAAGUUGGUGCAUGAAUAUCGAGGUUUCAGCUGGUGACAGACUGCAUGGGUGGCAGCGAUGGGCCCCUGGGAACCGUAGCAGCUGGGAGGUGCCUAUCACCGACAUCACGGCUGUCCUGGUUCCACAGUGCAGUUAUGUGCCACAGUGCAGAGGGUACUCCACUACUUGCAAAACCCAAACCGUGAAGCGGUGCUGUGGGACGCCGGCGGCUGCCUGGUCCACCUCGUGGUCACCACAUCGCUUAUCUGCCCCGGGAGGACAUGCCGAGGGCUGGACCUGCACCAUCCAGCCAAAGACUACCUGUGGAGAGUGUGUUCAGCUCAAUGGUUAAGACGCCGGUUAACAGCGGCAUCCCGUGUUGGAGUGCAGGGUUCAAUCCCCAGCUCCGCUUCUGGAUUCCGUCUUCCUACUGAUGAACACGCUGGGAGGCAGCAGUGGGUGGCUCACGUGGCUGGGCCCCUCCUUCGCCGUGGGAGACCGAGCUGCCAGCUCCUGGUUCCACCCUGGCCAUUGUAUGUGCUGAGUGAACCAGUGGAUGGGAACGCUCUCUGUGUCCUGAGUAAACACAUAGUUUAAAACCUGUGUAUUUGAGCUGUACUCCUCAGUGCUUUGAUGUAAGUAUACAUUGCGAAAUAUCACAACCAAACCAGCAUCACCCUCACUUCCCAUAGUUACCUUUUGGUAUGUGGUAAGAAUACUUAAGACCUACCCCCUUAGCAAAAUUUUAAAAAAGAUUUUAUUUAUUUAUUUGAGAAGUAGAAUUACAGAUAGAGAGAGGGAGAGGGAGAGAGAAAGGUCUUCCAUCCGCUGGUUCACUCCCAGAUGGCCACUAUGGCCGGAUCUGAGCAAAUCUGGAGCCUGGAAUUAGGAGCUUCCUCUGGGUCUCCCACGUGGGUUCAGGGGUCCAAGGACUUGCGCCAUCUUCCGCUGCUUUCUCAGGCACCUUAGCAGGGAGCUGGAUUGAAAGUGGAGCAGCCGGACUCCAGCAGGCACCCAUCUGGGAUGCCGGUGCUGCAGGCAGCAGCUUAAUCCAUUACGCCACAGCUGACCCCACCUCUGUAUCUCUUGGUCAAGCAUUUCCCGCUCCCCAGGACCCUGGGAUCCACCAUUCUACUCUCCACUUCUGCAAGUCGCACAUUUUUACAAUUUGCAAACUAUCAUUUAUAGGUAGAAUCUAAAAAAAAAAAAAAUCCAACAAAUAGAUCACGCUCCAUUUAGGGGAAGGUAAAUUUUUAUCUUGUGAUCAUAGCUAUGAAAAGUAUCACUAGUGUGUACACACAUUUUUCAGAAGACUUAUUCAUUUAUGUGAAAGGCAGACUUACAGAGAGCGAGAGUGAGCGUGAGCGAGAAUGAGAGAGAGCGAGAGAGAGAGGUCUUCCUUCUGUUGGUUCAUUCCCCAGAUACCUGAAUAUCCAGGGCUGGGCCAGCUUGAAGCCAGGACCUUGAAACUCCAUCUGGAUUUUCCAUGUGGGUGCAGGGGCCCAAGCACUUGGACCAUCUUCUGCUGCUCUCCUAGGGUUAUUAGCAGAGAGCUGGAUUGGAAGUGGAGCAGCCCGGACUUGAACCUGUGUCCAUAUGGAAUGCCAGCAUUGCUGGUAGUGGCUGAAGCCCCCGUAUCACAGUGCCAGCCCCUGUAAACCACAUUUGAACCCUACUCUGCACUGCUCUGAAAGAACACCUGGACUGCAGCACCUGUGUGUGCACCGCACAUGGAGGUGCACACCUGCGCAGUGGGCCCCGGCCUCAGUCACCUCUCCUGGCUGCUGACUGACCACUGGAAGAAUCGGCACAACCAGGCGAGAACCCCCGUGACGCUUGCCCUCCCGGAGCCCUAGCACAGUGAGAACGGCAGCUCAGCUCCACACCCCCUCGGGGCAGGGCGGCCGUGGCCACCGUGGGCACCCAGCGACAAGACAACCACGAGGUCAUAGCUCUUCUGCAACCCCGCGCGUUGUAAACGUCCCCCGUGAACACUCACGCGUCUGUAACAAAGUGCUCGUGUAGCCACGGAAGGACUCGGUGAGACACAGGAGUUGUAACUGUGGAGCAGUGAGGACCCAGAAGAAGGAGAACAAAUCCAGCGCAUGAAACUCCACCCCUCGAGACAGCCGGGGAUAAGCCAGCAGCCUUCAGCACAGUGGUCAGCCAUGGCUGCAGCCCUCAGAAGGGACCCGCUGGGAGCACCCACAGCACCCACAAGCGGAAGUGCUACUGCAGGGAGAGAAAAUCCCCCCGGCUCUGGGAUCUGCCGUGAACUCUCGGAUUCGCCUCCUUCUCCAUUCUCCGGGCCUCCCUCCGGGCCGCCAGUCUGGCUCUGCUGUGAUCAUGCUACAGAUGAGGAGAGAGGGGUCGAGACUGCAAGGACACAGAGUGAGGUCGCACAGCAUUGAACUCUCAUCCCACACUGUUUGACUCCACACUCUGAGCUCCUCCCACGGUGUCAUUCCGUCCCUUCGGGCAGACAGGUGCAGCCGCAGUGAGAGACCGGAACUUCGCAGGCGGAGUUGAAGUGUCCAGAAGCACAAGGAAUCAAGAUCUAUCGCACGCUGUUUCCCAGCCGCUCCUUCCCCAGGGCUGCAAUCUGCCUGUUACCAUGGAAGCCACACCUCUAACUCAGAUCUAGUUAGAGAUCUAGUUAGAUCUAGUUAGCCAACUCUCUAACUCAGAGUGUCCGUGCCGGCCUCUCCGGUAUUUCAGCCAUCCCACUGCUGUCUCUGCGGCGUUCUGGGCACAGCAAGGCGCCUCUCCUGGCCUGGCCUGGCCACCUUUGGUUCAGCUGAAGUGGGGCUCAGGGGAGCAGAGGGAAGAGUCUGGACAGGGCUCUCAGACAGCACUGGGGGUGGGGGUGGUGAGGGGUGCUGCGCAUGCCUGGGCUUCCUGUUAGGGCCCCCAUGCUGUGACCAUGGCUGCCCCCCUCAUCCCACCUCAUGACCGCUUUCCACUGCUUUCUUCUGCUUAGUUCCAGAAACACUCAAGGAAGUGAAACUGCAGUAAAAUAGGUGGCAAAGGAGGACACCAUGUUGAGGAAAACAAAGACAAAUACCGCGCGUGAGACCAGGGUAGAUCAGAGCCAGACACGGAUCUGAACACUGAACGUUGACAACUGGAGGCUGGGGCAUGGGACGCAUAGAGCAAGUUUGGGGGCAAACAUAAUGAAAGUCGGGUCUGGUUCAUUAGUUCUGCCAAAGGUACUGAUAUAAGGCGUUAAUGGGGGAAGAGGGAGGGGUUUGCGGGAACGGUUUGCAUCACCACCUCAACAGUUCUCAUUUGGCAAAUUUAAUACUGUCUGGGGGCCAGUGCUGUGAUGUAGCCCGUAAAGCCUCGGUCUGUGAUGCCACCAGCACCCCAUACAGGUGCCAGCUCGUGUUCUGGCUGCUCCACUUCUGAUCCAGCUCCCUGCUAAGGUGGCCCAGGUGCUGGGGCCCCUGCACCCACGUGGGAGACCUGGUUGGAGCUCCUGGCUCCUGGCUGCAGCCCAGCCCCAGCCAUUGUGGUCAUUUGGGGAGUGAACCAGUGGAUGGAAGACCUCUUUUUCUGUGUGUGUUUGUCUCUUCCUCUCUCUCUCUCUCUGUAACUCUGCUUUUCAAACAAAUACUUAAAUAAAUAAUCUUUAAAAAAAACUUCUCUGAAAUAAAAUGUUAAAAAGAA